RNAcentral lists this ribosomal RNA (418 nucleotides) under uncultured Gammaproteobacteria bacterium. RNAcentral's name for it is "bacterial SSU rRNA". It matches the Rfam family "Bacterial small subunit ribosomal RNA", at positions 114 to 512 of the family's 1533-position model. Lineage: Bacteria; Pseudomonadati; Pseudomonadota; Gammaproteobacteria. The record is from RNAcentral.
CGCAUAGGAAUCUGCCUAAUAGUGGGGGACAACCUGUGGAAACGCAGGCUAAUACCGCAUACGCUCCUGAUUGAAAGAUGAGGAGGAAAGCGGGGGACCUUUCGGGGCCUCGCGCUACUAGAUGAGCCUAUGUCAGAUUAGCUAGUUGGUGAGGUAAUGGCUCACCAAGGCGACGAUCUGUAGCUGGCCUGAGAGGAUGAUCAGCCACACUGGGACUGAGACACGGCCCAGACUCCUACGGGAGGCAGCAGUGGGGAAUAUUGGACAAUGGGCGCAAGCCUGAUCCAGCAAUACCGCGUGUGUGAAGAAGGCCUGAGGGUUGUAAAGCACUUUCAAUAGGGAGGAACACCUGUUUAUUUAAUAUCGGACAGACUGACAUUACCUAUAGAAGAAGCACCCGGGCUAACUCCGUGCCCAG